RNAcentral lists this ribosomal RNA (467 nucleotides) under uncultured bacterium. Its description in RNAcentral is "partial 16S ribosomal RNA". It matches the Rfam family "Bacterial small subunit ribosomal RNA", at positions 28 to 506 of the family's 1533-position model. The record is from RNAcentral.
GACGAACGCUGGCGGCGUGCUUAACACAUGCAAGUCGAACGGAAAGGCCCUGCUUUUGUGGGGUGCUCGAGUGGCGAACGGGUGAGUAACACGUGAGUAACCUGCCCUUGACUUUGGGAUAACUUCAGGAAACUGGGGCUAAUACCGGAUAGGAGCUCCUGCUGCAUGGUGGGGGUUGGAAAGUUUCGGCGGUUGGGGAUGGACUCGCGGCUUAUCAGCUUGUUGGUGGGGUAGUGGCUUACCAAGGCUUUGACGGGUAGCCGGCCUGAGAGGGUGACCGGCCACAUUGGGACUGAGAUACGGCCCAGACUCCUACGGGGGGCAGCGGUGGGGAAUAUUGCACAAGGGGCGGAAGCCUGAUGCAGCAACGCCGCGUGCGGGAUGACGGCCUUCGGGUGGUAAACCGCUUUCGCCUGUGACGAAGCGUGAGUGACGGUAAUGGGUAAAGAAGCACCGGCUAACUACGU